AAAAUAUUUUUUCACAGGCAGAUUCAGUUUAAAUUCUUUGGAAGAGUGAUUAAUUUGGUACUAAACAUUCUUGAUAGUAUUGUCAGUAGAGGUUAAACACAUUAACAUAACACUGUAGAUAUGCAUGGAGAAAUUUAACUCAAAGGUCUCCUGCAGUGGGCUUGCAAUUACCAAGGACCUACUGGCCAUAGUCCUCUCCUUUCCGAAAUUUCUCCAUUCAGUUCUAGGUACUGCUGCUGGAUCUAUUCCAGAACCAGUUCUGUUUCUGCUGCAUAAAACCCAAAACACUCUCGGAGUCCCUACUGUUUACCAACUGAAAAAAUGAAUAGGAAACUCUGGAAUUCAACUUUUUACUCAGGGAUACCUUAAUACUGCCUAGUCCUCUCUUCCCUUCUUUAGCUGCAUCUUUUGCUUCACACACACUAGACUGAUACUCUUCCUAAAUAUGUUCCUUAUUUUCCUCCGUCCACAGUAUCUCUUCCACAUGCCCUAGCCCCCCUUUCCCCUUGUAGAUGAGGUCUUUGUUGUUCCCCCUCCUUCAGGACCCAUCUGAAAUGUUACCUCUUUAAUGAAAACAUUUCUCAUCUCCCUAAUUGAUGACAUUUUUAUGCUCUAAAUACCUACUGCCCCUUUCUUUGUAUUUCGUUAUACUAGACCCCAUCUCUAUUCUAUUAGUUAAUUGUGUAUCUCUUACCAUCCUUAACAAGACAGAAGAACCUCCUUGAAGACAGGGGUGUUUUUGGAGUUCCCAUUGUGGUGUAGUGGAAACAAAUCUGACUAGGAAUCAUAAGGUUGCAGGCUUGAUCCCUGGCCUCGCUCAGUGGGUUAAGGAUCCAGCAUUGCCAUGAGCUGUGGUGUGGGUUUCAGUUGAGGCUCAGAUCUGGCAUUGCUGUGGCUCUGGCGUAGGCCGGCAGCAACAGCUCCAAUUAAGACUCCUAGCCUGGGAACCUCCAUAUGCCGUGGGUGCGGCUCUAAAAAGACAAAAAAAUAAAAUAAAGACAGGGGUGUUUUCAUUUAGAGCCAUUAGGAUAUUAUAUAAGGUAGUAUUGUGAUUUAUAAUAAAAUAUAGAUAAUUGAUCCUUGUCCCAUUUCUGGCACAGAGCCCCCCAAACCCUUGGAAGAUCUUAAGUGAUGAGUGUGACAAAGGUAUCUUUUCUUAUGUUGGUGAGGUGAAUUUUGGAAAGCCUGGAGGUAGCCUAGCUGAGAAGGUGUCACAAAAACUCCAGGGGGACAGAAGCUCCUGUUUGGCACCUUCCUGACCUCACCCUAUGUAUCUCUUCAUCUGGCUGUUCAUUUACUUCGUUUAACUUCUUUUGCAAUAAACUGGUAAUCUAGUAAGUAAAAACAUUCCCAGAUUUCUGCAAGCUGCUCUAGUGAUCAAACCUGGAUGGUGGCGGGGAUACAUGGGAACCUCUGAUUUAUAGCCAGGCUGUGAGAAGCACAGGUAACAACCUGGUCUGGGCUUGGCUUCUGAAGUGGGGCCAGUCUUGUAGGACUGAGCACUUAACCUAUGGGAUCUGACAUCAUCUCCAGGGUGGAUAGUGUCAAGAUGCAUUGAACUGGAAGCUGGUGUUGGAGAAUUGUUUGGUAGUCUAGAAAUAACACAUAUUCCUGGCGACAGAUAGCAUGGGGAGAGGCUGUAGGAGAUAUUAAAAACCAGACAAAGUAACAUAAACUUCAUAUGAGGUGGCGGGUCCCAUCCCUGGCCUCGCUCCAUAGGUGAAGGAUCUGGUGUUACCAAAAGCGGUGGAUGUGGGUUGCAGAUGUGGCUUGGAUCCCACGUGGCUGUGGCUGUGAUGUAGGCCUGCAGCUGCGGCUCCAAUUCGACUCCUAGCCUGGGAACUUCCAUAUGCCUCAGGUGCAGCUGUAAAAUAAACAAACAAAUGAACGUCAUAUGGGCAACAGAUAACCAUUCUCACACAGCAGAAAUGACCCAAGAAGAAAAAUGGUUGAGGAAAAUUAAUGUGGUCAUCCUAUGUGCUGUCAGAUAGACGAAGAGGGAAGAAAAGGCUGUCAAGGAGACUGCAGAGAAUCACAGUCCAUGGGAAACUUCACAUGGUGGAGAAAACAAGGUCCCCUGGAAGGAAAAGUAAAGGAACUGUGGAGAGUUCAGAGAUGCUGCAAUGGGUCAUGGAAAUGGAUGGGAGGAGGCAGGGAGGAAAUAAUGACCAGAAGAGUGAACAGAUACUUGAAGAACCAUAUGUGAAUGAUAAUGGGAAAGAGAAAACCAGAAGUUCUUUUCUUAAUCUAACUAUUCUCUGAUUUAAUUUUAGAGAAGCUUAAAAAUAUACGUUGUUUUGCUUAUCCUUGCUGAACUAAUAUUAAUUACAUUUUUUAAGAUGGGUACCUGUCCAGAGGACUCAGCUAUAUUAAAAGAUUUUAAGGAGUUCCCUGGUGGCUCAGUGGGUUAAGGAUCUCCUAUUGUCACUGCUGCGGCUCUGGUCACUGCUGUGGUGUGGGUUCAGUCCCUGGCCCAGGAAACUCUGCAGGCCACAGGCACAGCGAAAAAAAGAAAAAGAUUUUGAUAAUCUAAAAAUCCAAGUUUUCUGGAAUAAAAAUCAUCACUAGACUUAACUUGCUGUGCAAAAGAUUUAACAUAUACUGAACAACCUAUGUGUCAGCGCUAUUCUAGCUUUGGAAAGGAGUCCCUGUUCCCAUGGCGCUUGUAGUCUGGUCCUGGAUGACUAACCUAUAAUGUGACUGACAAUCCUGGUUUGCAAAAGAUGUAAGAUGGAUGCAAGGACUUUCAGUGCUAAAACUGGAAAACCAGAGACAAACAUGGCCAAUUUCCCUAAUGGUCCCCAAAAAAUCCCAUUCAUGCCCUUCUAUAGGUCCCUCCCAUACUAAUCAGGGCUGACUUUCUUCUUUUUUUUUCCCUCUUUGGCCACACCCUCAGCAUGCAGAAGUUCCUGAGCCAGGGAUGGAACCUGCACCACAGCAGCAACCUGAGCUGCAGCAGUGACAACACUGGAUCUUUAACCUGCUGAACUACUCGGGAACUCCAGGGCUGACCUUCCUAAGUAACAUCUUACUUUGGAAAUGACCAUGUGUGACUUCCAAAGUCACAAAAGACACAUGGCUUUUGCAAUUUGCCCUCACUGGGGACACCUGUAACCAUGUUAUGAGGACACUCAAGCAAUUCUGUGGCGAUCCACUCAGGGAGGAACUGAAGACUUGCUAUCAGUGUGUAAGUGAGCCUUUUCCAAGGGGAUCCUUUGGCCACAGUCAAACCUUUUAGCUGCUGUCAAAUCUUCACAGGAUUAGCCAUGUCCCCCUACAACUUUGUGAGCCUCUGAGCCACUUCAAUUCCCAACUACAGAAACUGAAAGAACUAGUUUGUUGUUGUUCUGCUAAAUGUUCGGGUGUGAUAUAGGCCAAGAGAAAAUAAAUGCAAUGCUACAGAGAAAAGGUAUGCUUAGGAAAGACUUAAGAGUUGCAUGUAGGCCCUACUGUGACAAAUGGGUCUGGAUAGGCUUCUCCUAUAAAGGCAUUUGGGCAGAAACCUUAAAAAGGAGCAGGACAGGAGUUCCUGUCGUGGCUCAGUAAUUAACCAACCCGACUAGCAUCCAUGAGGACUCAGAUUUGAUCCUUGGCCUUGCUCAGUGGCUGAAGGAUCUGGCAUUGCCGUGAGCUGUGGUGUAUGCUGGUGCAGAUCCCACAUUUCGGUGACUGUGGUGUAGGCCGGCGGCUAUAGCUCUGAUUUGACCCCUAGCCUGGGAACCUCCAUAUGCCACCGGUGCAGCCCUAAAAAGACC
This 3755-nucleotide long non-coding RNA is filed under the name Sus scrofa (pig). RNAcentral's name for it is "lncRNA (ENSSSCG00000055056.1)". Lineage: Eukaryota; Metazoa; Chordata; Mammalia; Artiodactyla; Suidae. The record is from RNAcentral.